Molecule: long non-coding RNA, 522 nt
Organism: Mesocricetus auratus (golden hamster)
Lineage: Eukaryota; Metazoa; Chordata; Mammalia; Rodentia; Cricetidae
Exons: 2
Source: RefSeq, a predicted model, not a curated record
CUGACGUCACUUCCGCCCACGCCUCGUUUGCUGCAGGGUGGGCGCUGUAGCGGCUUCACAGUGGGAGCCGGAAUGAUGGCCUCGAGGACAAGCCAGAUUUAAAGCCUGGGAUGUGGGUCUUCGGGGGCGCCCAGGCCCCGUAACUAAGCCCUUCCACACGGUCUCCUGCGGUCCUCCGCCCACGGGGAGCUCACCGGAAACUUCCCAGCCUACCCCUGCCGCGUUCAACCCAGGCUUUCCAGAGCUCCCUGGUUCAGCAACAACAAGGCCGCCUCGCUUCCGCAAUCAUUCGGACCUUUCGAGGUGUUGGCAUUGGUUUUGGCCAGAAGAGGGCACCAGAUCUCAUUACAGAUGGUUGUGAGCCACCUUGAGUUAGCUGGAAAUUGAACUCAGGACCUCUGGGAGGCCAGCUGGAGUCCCUGAGCACUGAGCCAUCUCUGCCCUAUUAGAAGCCUUUUGAGGAACUUUUAGAACUGAAUUCUGCUACUUCUGUUGGUCAAAUUAAAUUCAGACUUCACCUUC